GAACUGCGAUACGUCUUGCGAAUUGCAGAAUUCAGUGAAUCAUCAAAUUUUCGAACGCACACGGCGCUUCCGGGUAUUCCUGGGAGCAUGUUCUCCUCAGUGUUACCUUGCACCAAUCUUGGCGACGCCCUUGAAUGAAACUUUUUUAUUCAAUGUCGUCAUCAGUUGUUGAGUUGUCUUCUAUUCACCUAGAAGUCACUUCAAAGUCUUGAUGGGCCCCAUUUGCUCUCUCUUCUUGAUUCUCACUCAGGAAGGGUAGAAAGAAAAGAGGGACGUUUGAUAAAAACACUCUACGUUUACUCUGCCUUUCUAUUUCUCUCGAAAGGAGCAUGACCCGUCUUAUCCAUUACAUUUGUUUGCACUUUCAACCUGAGGUGGAGCGAGAUUACCCGCCGAAUUU
RNAcentral lists this unclassified non-coding RNA (400 nucleotides) under uncultured fungus. RNAcentral's name for it is "sequence contains ITS1". The stretch from base 1 to 105 matches the Rfam family "5.8S ribosomal RNA", at positions 50 to 154 of the family's 154-position model. Lineage: Eukaryota; Fungi. The record is from RNAcentral.